UACGAAGGGGGCUAGCGUUGCUCGGAAUUACUGGGCGUAAAGCGCGUGUAGGCUGACCGGAAAGUCGGGCGUGAAAGCCCUGGGCUCAACCCAGGAACUGCACUCGAAACUCCCGGUCUAGAGUGGUGGAGAGGGAAGUGGAAUUCCUGGUGUAGAGGUGAAAUUCGUAGAUAUCAGGAGGAACACCAGUGGCGAAGGCGGCUUCCUGGACACCAACUGACGCUGAGACGCGAAAGCGUGGGGAGCAAACAGG
This 253-nucleotide ribosomal RNA is filed under the name uncultured bacterium. Its description in RNAcentral is "partial 16S ribosomal RNA". It matches the Rfam family "Bacterial small subunit ribosomal RNA", at positions 524 to 776 of the family's 1533-position model. The record is from RNAcentral.